GAUGAACGCUGGCGGCGUGCUUAACACAUGCAAGUCGAACGGAAAGGCCACAGCUUGCUGUGGUACUCGAGUGGCGAACGGGUGAGUAACACGUGGGUGAUCUGCCCUGUACUUCGGGAUAAGCUUGGGAAACUGGGUCUAAUACCGGAUAGGAAUCACAUGUGGGUGUGUGGUUGGAAAGCUUUUGCGGUAUGGGAUGAGCUCGCGGCCUAUCAGCUUGUUGGUGGGGUAAUGGCCUACCAAGGCGUCGACGGGUAGCCGGCCUGAGAGGGUGUACGGCCCCAUGGGGACUGAGAUACGGCCCAGACUCCUCGGGGGGGGAGGAGGGGGGAAUAUUGCACAAGGGGCGCAAGCCUGUUGCAGCGACGCCGGGGGGGGGAUGACGGCCUUCGGGUUGUAACCUCCUUUCGUAAGGGACGAAGCGAAAGUGACGGUACCGGGAUAAGAAGCACCGGCUAACUACGU
RNAcentral lists this ribosomal RNA (465 nucleotides) under uncultured bacterium. Its description in RNAcentral is "partial 16S ribosomal RNA". It matches the Rfam family "Bacterial small subunit ribosomal RNA", at positions 28 to 506 of the family's 1533-position model. The record is from RNAcentral.